This 495-nucleotide ribosomal RNA is filed under the name uncultured bacterium. Its description in RNAcentral is "partial 16S ribosomal RNA". It matches the Rfam family "Bacterial small subunit ribosomal RNA", at positions 28 to 507 of the family's 1533-position model. The record is from RNAcentral.
GACGAACGCUGGCGGCGUGCCUAAUACAUGCAAGUCGAACGCUGAAGGCGGAGCUUGCUUCUCUGGAUGAGUUGCGAACGGGUGAGUAACGCGUAGGUAACCUGCCUGGUAGCGGGGGAUAACUAUUGGAAACGAUAGCUAAUACCGCAUAAUAGCAGUUGUUGCAUGACAACUGUUUGAAAGGUGCAAUUGCUCCACUUCCAGAUGCACCUGCGUUGUAUUAGCUAGUUGGUGGGGUAACGGCUCACCAAGGCGAGGAUCCAUAGCCGAACGGAGAGGGGGGUCGGCCGCACUGAGAGGGUGACAGGGCCCAGAGGGCUAGAGGAGGCAGCAAGAGGGCAACGGGAGCAAGGGGCGGAAGACUUAGCGAGCUGCGCCGAGGGAGGGAGGAGGAUCGCCGGAUCGGAGAGCUCGGUUUUCAGGGAGGAAAGAGUGUGAGAGUGGAACGUUCAGAGUGUGACGGUAACGGAUAAGAAAGCAACGGCUAACUACGUG